CGCUGGUAACAUGUUUAUUUUUAUUUUUUUUUGUUUUAAAACGUGAGGUUUCAUGGCGGUCUGAGGCACCGCCGGGAGGUGUGCGGGGGGGGGGAGACGGGGCUGUAAAACGCUCCCGGCUCCGGCUGCACCCAAAAUCAUCAAUCUUGCAAAUUAUCAGCCCUUUUUUUUUUUUUUGUAUUAUUAAAAUUAAGUGGAUUAAAGCGGUGUUACUUCAAGCUUUAUUAAAAUACGCUUUGGAGAGAAAUUUGAUUUCUCUAUGAGCAACCUCCUUUGGUACGAGAUUUUUAACCGAAUUACUGAGACGUGAAGCCCCUUUCUCUGAAAGCUGGGUUUUGGGGCAGCGUUUUAAUUUUGCAUGACGGUUCCAGGUAAGGUGUGCCAAGUAUUUUUAGUUGCGUUGUUGCCUGGGUGUGUUGGGUUCUGGGUUGCUGGGUUUGUUGCCGACGGCUGUAACUGUUGAUUUUGUACCUACCGCAGCAGAAAGGCGUUAGGAGGAAGCUGGCCAUGUAAGAGUUAUUUUUUGGCACACUUAUCAGGAGAUUAAAAAGAAGCUGAUGGUAAUCUCGUACAGGCUUUGUACUGACGUGACUCCGGGCAUUUACUGACUGUACUUUAAAUGGAGUCUCAAGGACACGGAAUUGUGUGGCUUUGGGGCUUUUAAAUAUCAUCUCUCAAGCCUGCGUUCUGUGUGGCAUCUUACAUGGUGGUUCUCCAUAGGUCGUUCUGACUAUGGUGUGGUACUCCUGAGCAGACCACUUUUUAUUCAUGUAUUAUUUAUCUCUUAUUUGUAUAGUUGCAUACCUCAUAUCUCAGUAUUCCUCAGUUCAUUUAACAUCACAACAGCCCUGUGAUGUAGAGAAAUAUAUUCAUCCCAUUUUACCAAUAAAGGUUUUAACAGUU
Molecule: long non-coding RNA, 903 nt
Organism: Chroicocephalus ridibundus (black-headed gull)
Lineage: Eukaryota; Metazoa; Chordata; Aves; Charadriiformes; Laridae
Exons: 2
Source: RefSeq, a predicted model, not a curated record